GACGAACGCUGGCGGCGUGCCUAACACAUGCAAGUCGAACGGAAAGGCCCGGCUUUUGUGGGGUGGUCGAGUGGCGAAGGGGGGAGUAACACGUGAGUAACAUGUCCCUGACUGAGGGAGAACUUCAGGAAACAGGGGCUAAUACGGGAUAGGAGCUAUUGCUGCAGGGUGGGGGUUGGAAAGAUUCGGCUGUUGGGGAUGGAAUAGCGGCUUAUGAGCUUGUUGGGGGGGUAGUGGAUUACCAGGGCUUUGAAGGGUAGCCGGCCUGGGCGGGUGACCGGCCACAUUGCGCCUGAGAUACGGCCCAGACUCCUACCUUAGGCAACGGUGGAGAAUAUUACACAAUGGGCGGGAGCCUGAUCCGACAACGCCCCGUGCGGGAUGACCUCCUUCGGGUUGUGAACCGCUGUCGCCUUUGCCGAGGCGUUAGUGACGGUAACGGGUAAAGAAGCACCGGCUAACUACGUG
RNAcentral lists this ribosomal RNA (468 nucleotides) under uncultured bacterium. Its description in RNAcentral is "partial 16S ribosomal RNA". It matches the Rfam family "Bacterial small subunit ribosomal RNA", at positions 28 to 507 of the family's 1533-position model. The record is from RNAcentral.